CUCUAGAGAAAGCGGAUGGCGGUGUGGACCGGUUUUAUUGAGAUUCCUCUCGGUCUCACACGCAGCCUAUCUAGGCCCCGUCUCUCUAACGGCCUGGUAUCGAUCACGCCUUCCAUGGCUCAGCGACGCAGGUUCGGGCUCCAGGACUGCAGUUUGCGUAUGGGAAGACCCAAAGGAGAAGUUAGCUGCAGCCGCUUUCAUUAUCGAAUGCUUUAUUAGUGCCAGGCUCUUGGAUAAUUGCUUGGUACUUAAUUCUCAGGAUAAUUUUGUAAGAUGAAGAAACUGCUUACACUUGGCCAAGAUCACAUAAGUAGGAAGUGGGGGAUUAGAACCCACUCUGACUCCAGAUUAAUACAGUUUGUAGUCCAAAUAGGCGACAUAGGCUAAUGGUAAAGGUUUCAUUUGUUGCUGUUUUAUAUGAAUAAAUUCACUGAAGGUCAGCACAUCCUUAAUGGAUACACAAAUGGUAGGAAGGAUCAGAAAAGAAAAGAGAAUCAGAAAAAAUAAAGUCUCCCAUAAUAAACUUAAAAGGAAUU
This is a long non-coding RNA of Suricata suricatta (meerkat), 536 nucleotides long. RefSeq lists it as uncharacterized. Lineage: Eukaryota; Metazoa; Chordata; Mammalia; Carnivora; Herpestidae. The record is from RefSeq and is a predicted model, not a curated record. The transcript has 3 exons.